Magallana angulata is the source of this 1998-nucleotide long non-coding RNA. RefSeq lists it as uncharacterized. Lineage: Eukaryota; Metazoa; Mollusca; Bivalvia; Ostreida; Ostreidae. The record is from RefSeq and is a predicted model, not a curated record. The transcript is spliced from 3 exons.
ACGUGCCUGCACAUAGAAAUUUAGAUAUUUCAUGAUCAAUUUCCAUGCAUUCACAAUAUCGAUUGAAUAAUAAGUUGUCAUUAUUAGAUCAAAAUUCUUUUUUUUAUUGAACGACAUUGGCUUAUGAAGGUCCCUGCGUGAGUGUGUAUAAUUAUAUCAGUGUGAUAAACAGAUAACCGGUGAACAAAGGAUUCUAAAGGUAAAACAAAAAUCGUUUAAUAAAACUUCCCGACUACCAGACGUAAGCAUAUACGCAGCUAGGGACUUUAAAUUGAAAUAUAGAUUAAUACGGUCAAUAAAAAGGACUGGGAGAGAAUGCAGGAAGUUUAAGGACCGAAUACACACGUAUCUUAUUCUUUGCAGUGAUUUUAUAUAGAUAGUUUUAAAUUCUUUGAAUUUUAAAACUUUAAUGUAACAUAUGUGCAAUAAAUGUAAAAUGGAGUACACUGUUCGCUGUCAGUGAAGUAUAUCUUCAAUUCAUUUUCAACGACACCACAUAUACUUUUCACAUUAUGUGGGCGAAAAUUUAGGAAAUAGAUCCUCGGCAUAUUUUAAGCAAAAGAGAAGCGAGAUGGUUUUUAGAACAUUCGAGACGAAAAAAACACACGGGAGCGGUGAACGUUGAUUAUUUGCUGAAUAUAUAAACACUCAAACAAGGUUUAACAAGAAGAUGGAUUAAGUAAAAACGUGGGAGAAAUCAUGUAUUACAGCUUUUGAAGCGUCUAGCGCCGCCCAUGCAUCUCUUACUCUGAUAUUGUAUUUUGCUGUUUUUGAACUGACGAACUAGACUUGAAACAGUUCGAAACUGAAAACCUAGAGGACCAGUUUACAACUUAAGGAGCACGAAAAUAAGAAUCUUCUGCAGAUGUCAUAUCCUCUAAAACGAUUCACAGAACUUGAGAACUCCAACGCCGCUGAUUAAACAUAUAAAACAUAUUCAGAAAUAUUCAACAGCAACCCCAAUUUCUCAGGCCUUAAGUUUCUCUGCCAGAAAGGCCCGAGAAGUUGCGAUGUGAUUCAGCAGUUUAGUUGCAAUCGCCAUCCACCAAUAUAUGGGAAAACUCAAAUGUAGGAAUUGAAAAAAUAAUACGCAGCGGUCAAUUUUCUUCCGUGUUGAAGUACACAUGUAAGAAAAAAAACAUUCUAAAAAUUACUAAAAUGAUAUUCGUGUACUCGUUCGCUGGUCUGUGACGUUUGUGAGCUUUACGUCUGAACUGUACGUAGACUCUUUGCGGUUGAAUAAUGGCAGGGUUAAAAGGACUCGGUGCAAACUUAAAAUUGUGAAUGAUCUCUACCUUGAAAUGAGAAUUAACACAGUCGGCAAUUCUUUUUUAAACAAUUUCUGAUUUUGGUUUAGUUUUUCACAUAAUUAUCAUCAAAAUUGAAUGUUGAGUGAAUUCGAAUUGAGGGCAACAUUGAUUAAGUUCCGCUUUGUGACAGGGGUUCACAUUAUCUCUGUUACCUUGAACCCCAGUCAUCAUUUGUAAAUUAUAACCCUUUCUAAUUACGUAUACAUUGAUAUUGAUAUUGAAAACCUUACUAUUUUGAAUACUCAAAAUUGAUUUUGUACACUUUGUAUGUCUGACUGUAUUUAAUUCACUUGUAUUAUAUAACUUUUGAGAUAUUUGUCUUUGGAAUAAAAAAAAUUGAACUUGAACAUCCAUUGUAUGCACCCGCCUGCGACAUGCCGAUAUACUAGUAUUCCUUCACCAGAUGUCUGGGGUCAAUCAUCUGAUACGCUUCGUAAUUAAACAGCACACUGACUUUCAGCUCCAGUGUCUAGUGUGCACCGCAUCCAUGGCCAUGUCAUUCACAUCAACGCAAACAGCAAACCCGCAGUUCACUGUAAAUUCAAAGCUGGUCCAAGUGAGCUUUUCUAUUAAAAAUUUGUCCGUUGUCUGAUGCAGUCAUUAUCGUCGUUAACUUUUCACGUUUUCAUCUUAUUCUCACAUGAUGUCAAGAACUAUUGGGCCGAUCGAUUUCAACCAAACUUGGCAC